This is a long non-coding RNA of Oxyura jamaicensis (ruddy duck), 158 nucleotides long. RefSeq lists it as uncharacterized. Lineage: Eukaryota; Metazoa; Chordata; Aves; Anseriformes; Anatidae. The transcript is spliced from 3 exons. The record is from RefSeq and is a predicted model, not a curated record.
GUUUUAUUCACAACUAUUUCUACUACAGCUUGCAAUCUAAUUAUUCUAUUAAGCAUAUAUAUUGGGGUCCUAUAGCCCCAGGAUCUGUCUUCUGCCCACGUAGCUGGAUCAUAAUAGGCUAUGAUUUUCUCAGGAGGCCAUCAAUGAAGGGUUUGGGC